This 459-nucleotide ribosomal RNA is filed under the name uncultured bacterium. RNAcentral describes it as "bacterial SSU rRNA". It matches the Rfam family "Bacterial small subunit ribosomal RNA", at positions 929 to 1397 of the family's 1533-position model. The record is from RNAcentral.
GCAGUGGAGUAUGUUGUUUAAUUCGAAGCAACGGGAGAACCUUACCAGUCUUGACAUCCNUCUGACGCUCCUGGAGACAGGGUUCCCUUCGGGGCAGGGGUGACAGGUGGUGCAUGGUUGUCGUCAGCUCGUGUCGUGAGAUGUUGGGUUAAGUCCCGCAACGAGCGCAACCCUUGUCAUUAGUUGNUACGCAAGAGCACUCUAGUGAGACUGCCGUUGACAAAACGGAGGAAGGUGGGGACGACGUCAAAUCAUCAUGCCCCUUAUGACCUGGGCUACACACGUACUACAAUGGCCGUGAACAAAGAGAAGCAAGACCGCGAGGUGGAGCAAAACUCAAAAAACGGUCCCAGUUCGGAUUGCAGGCUGAAACCCGCCUGCAUGAAGUUGGAAUUGCUAGUAAUCGCGGAUCAGCAUGCCGCGGUGAAUACGUUCCCGGGCCUUGUACACUCCGCCCGU